Molecule: unclassified non-coding RNA, 305 nt
Filed under: Hevea brasiliensis (rubber tree)
Lineage: Eukaryota; Viridiplantae; Streptophyta; Magnoliopsida; Malpighiales; Euphorbiaceae
Source: RNAcentral
AAAACUUAUUUUAACAGAAAGAAGAGAAACUGAAGCACAACAAUCUGUAACCAAGCAGCCACGUUAUUUUAUUUGUCAAUUGCACGUAUAAACCCCACUCUGAUAACUGUGACUAACCUCAUAAAAGUCUGUUUUACCCUCAGUAGCAGUCCGUAGACAGACCCCAGAUAAUGAAGUAGUCCCUUGCAUGGAAAAUUUAACAUAACCAAAAGCCUCAAUUUCUUGAUCACCCUCUCCCUCACUAGAAUCGACAGGCAUCCUUACCCUCAACUUCCCGGGAGAACCUUUGAGUGGAAUCUCUGGGA